This 391-nucleotide ribosomal RNA is filed under the name Lactobacillus delbrueckii subsp. bulgaricus. RNAcentral describes it as "partial 23S ribosomal RNA". It matches the Rfam family "Bacterial large subunit ribosomal RNA", at positions 2233 to 2623 of the family's 2925-position model. The record is from RNAcentral. Lineage: Bacteria; Bacillati; Bacillota; Bacilli; Lactobacillales; Lactobacillaceae.
CUGUGAUCCAGGCCGAGGACAGUGUUUGACGGGCAGUUUGACUGGGGCGGUCGCCUCCUAAAGUGUAACGGAGGCGCCCAAAGGUUCCCUCAGAAUGGUUGGAAAUCAUUCGCAGAGUGUAAAGGUAAAAGGGAGCUUGACUGCGAGAGAGACAACUCGAGCAGGUACGAAAGUAGGGCUUAGUGAUCUGGUGGUACCGUAUGGAAGGGCCAUCACUCAACGGAUAAAAGCUACCCUGGGGAUAACAGGCUUAUCUCCCCCAAGAGUUCACAUCGACGGGGAGGUUUGGCACCUCGAUGUCGGCUCGUCGCAUCCUGGGGCUGAAGUCGGUCCCAAGGGUUGGGCUGUUCGCCCAUUAAAGCGGCACGCGAGCUGGGUUCAGAACGUCGUG